Molecule: ribosomal RNA, 570 nt
Filed under: uncultured archaeon
Lineage: Archaea
Description: bacterial SSU rRNA
Rfam family: Archaeal small subunit ribosomal RNA
Source: RNAcentral
UUCCGGUUGAUCCCGCCGGACCUGACUGCUAUCGGAUUGAUACUAAGCCAUGCGAGUCAUUGUAGCAAUACAAGGCAGACGGCUCAGUAACGCGUAGUCAACCUACCCUAUGGACGGGAAUAACCUCGGGAAACUGAGUAUAAUGCCCGAUAGAACACUAUACCUGGAAUGGUUUGUGUUUCAAAUGAUUUAUUGCCGUAGGAUGGGACUGCGGCCUAUCAGUUUGUUGGUGAGGUAAUGGCCCACCAAGACUAUUACAGGUACGGGCUCUGAGAGGAGUGGCCCGGAGAUGGGUACUGAGACACGGACCCAGGCCCUAUGGGGCGCAGCAGGCGAGAAAACUUUGCAAUGUGCGAAAGCACGACAAGGUUAAUCCGAGUGGUUUCUGCUAAAGGAACCUUUUGACAGUCCUAGAAACACUGUUGAAUAAGGGGUGGGCAAGUUCUGGUGUCAGCCGCCGCGGUAAAACCAGCACCUCAAGUGGUCAGGAUGAUUAUUGGGCCUAAAGCAUCCGUAGCCGGCUCAGUAAGUUUUCGGUUAAAUCUGUACGCUCAACGUACAGGCUGCCGG